AUUGAACGCUGGCGGCAUGCUUUACACAUGCCAGUCGAACGGCAGCGCGGGCUUCGGCCUGGCGUCGAGUGGCGAACGGGUGAGUAAUACAUCGGAACGUGCGCAGUAGUGGGGGAUAGCUCGGCGAAAGCCGGAUUAAUACCGCAUACGACCUUAGGGUGAAAGCGGGGGAUCUUCGGACCUCGCGCUAUUGGAGCGGCCGAUGGCCGAUUAGCUAGUUGGUGGGGUAAAGGCCUACCAAGGCGACGAUCUGUAGCUGGUCUGAGAGGACGACCAGCCACACUGGGACUGAGACACGGCCCAGACUCCUACGGGAGGCAGCAGUGGGGAAUUUUGGACAAUGGGCGCAAGCCUGAUCCAGCCAUGCCGCGUGUGUGAUGAAGGCCUUCGGGUUGUAAAGCACUUUUGGCGGGAAAGAAAAGGACUGUGCCAAUACCACGGUUCGAUGACGGUACCCGAAGAAUAAGCACCGGCUAACUACGUG
RNAcentral lists this ribosomal RNA (484 nucleotides) under uncultured bacterium. Its description in RNAcentral is "partial 16S ribosomal RNA". It matches the Rfam family "Bacterial small subunit ribosomal RNA", at positions 30 to 507 of the family's 1533-position model. The record is from RNAcentral.